This 309-nucleotide long non-coding RNA is filed under the name Elaeis guineensis (African oil palm). RNAcentral's name for it is "long non-coding RNA (EGUI_LNC034039)". The record is from RNAcentral. Lineage: Eukaryota; Viridiplantae; Streptophyta; Magnoliopsida; Arecales; Arecaceae.
GCGUGUAACUGGUGUUGAUUAUUUUUGGCUGGUCACAUUGGUUCAGUUGCAUUGAGAAUAUGCAACCACUAUAUUAACAGUAGAUGCUCUGGGGUAGAGAUGGGGUUGGGCCCAAUAACUAUUAGGUGCAGGACCCGAUGAUAGCUUUACACCCAUUGAUGAACAGUGAGUCUAAUUUAAUUAAAAAAUAUGAUCAAUAACUAUUAGGUGAGUUGUCCACUUAUCGAUAUACGUAUUAUCAAUAACUGUUAGAUGAGGUACACGUACAUUGGUGGGACCACAAUACCCACUAGAAAUUCUUGUGAUAUU